Molecule: transfer RNA, 64 nt
Filed under: Coleoptera sp. 15 KM-2017
Lineage: Eukaryota; Metazoa; Arthropoda; Insecta; Coleoptera
Description: tRNA-Glu
Source: RNAcentral
AUUUGUAUAGUUUAAAAUAAAACAUUAUAUUUUCAUUAUAAAAAUAAUUAUAAAUUUACAAAUA